This 542-nucleotide transfer RNA is filed under the name uncultured cyanobacterium. RNAcentral describes it as "partial contains 16S ribosomal RNA, 16S-23S ribosomal RNA intergenic spacer, and 23S ribosomal RNA". The stretch from base 212 to 284 matches the Rfam family "tRNA". The record is from RNAcentral. Lineage: Bacteria; Bacillati; Cyanobacteriota.
CAGGGAGACAACAAAAUGUUUAAUAUUAUUAUUUUGUCACCUUAGGUCGAUCGGUAUCUCACAUUCUUAAUUCGUUAAGAAUUUUAUUUCCUAAGUUUUUCUAGGUCACACCCAUUAUUUUUCCUGGGCCAUUAGCUCAGGUGGUUAGAGCGCACCCCUGAUAAGGGUGGGGUCCCUGGUUCAAGUCCAGGAUGGCCCAUAUCUCUAUGUUGGGGGUAUAGCUCAGUUGGUAGAGCGCCUGCUUUGCAAGCAGGAUGUCAGCGGUUCGAGUCCGCUUACCUCCACUGAUUACCACCUCUUCCAUAAUCUGUAGAAAGGGAAAUUUUUUGAGUUGUGAUCAUUAUCCUGAACGAAUCUAGCUUCCUAAUGAAAUCAUUAAGAUGCUGGACUCAUUGAAUUAAUUUCAUUGUUUUCAGAGAACCUUGACAACUGCAUAGAUUAUUUUUAAAGACAAUAAGCAUCUUUAAUGAUGCAGAUUUAUUAUUUGUGCAAAUGCAUUAAUAACAAUUCUAUUAAGCUGAUGCUUCAAUUUUGAAGUUAUU